Molecule: ribosomal RNA, 1259 nt
Filed under: Acinetobacter sp.
Lineage: Bacteria; Pseudomonadati; Pseudomonadota; Gammaproteobacteria; Moraxellales; Moraxellaceae
Description: bacterial SSU rRNA
Rfam family: Bacterial small subunit ribosomal RNA
Source: RNAcentral
CUAUCACCUAGCGGCGGACGGGUGAGUAAUGCUUAGGAAUCUGCCUAUUAGUGGGGGACAACAUUUCGAAAGGAAUGCUAAUACCGCAUACGUCCUACGGGAGAAAGCAGGGGAUCUUCGGACCUUGCGCUAAUAGAUGAGCCUAAGUCGGAUUAGCUAGUUGGUGGGGUAAAGGCCUACCAAGGCGACGAUCUGUAGCGGGUCUGAGAGGAUGAUCCGCCACACUGGGACUGAGACACGGCCCAGACUCCUACGGGAGGCAGCAGUGGGGAAUAUUGGACAAUGGGCGCAAGCCUGAUCCAGCCAUGCCGCGUGUGUGAAGAAGGCCUUAUGGUUGUAAAGCACUUUAAGCGAGGAGGAGGCUACUUUAGAUAAUACCUAGAGAUAGUGGACGUUACUCGCAGAAUAAGCACCGGCUAACUCUGUGCCAGCAGCCGCGGUAAUACAGAGGGUGCAAGCGUUAAUCGGAUUUACUGGGCGUAAAGCGCGCGUAGGCGGCUAAUUAAGUCAAAUGUGAAAUCCCCGAGCUUAACUUGGGAAUUGCAUUCGAUACUGGUUAGCUAGAGUGUGGGAGAGGAUGGUAGAAUUCCAGGUGUAGCGGUGAAAUGCGUAGAGAUCUGGAGGAAUACCGAUGGCGAAGGCAGCCAUCUGGCCUAACACUGACGCUGAGGUGCGAAAGCAUGGGGAGCAAACAGGAUUAGAUACCCUGGUAGUCCAUGCCGUAAACGAUGUCUACUAGCCGUUGGGGCCUUUGAGGCUUUAGUGGCGCAGCUAACGCGAUAAGUAGACCGCCUGGGGAGUACGGUCGCAAGACUAAAACUCAAAUGAAUUGACGGGGGCCCGCACAAGCGGUGGAGCAUGUGGUUUAAUUCGAUGCAACGCGAAGAACCUUACCUGGCCUUGACAUAGUAAGAACUUUCCAGAGAUGGAUUGGUGCCUUCGGGAACUUACAUACAGGUGCUGCAUGGCUGUCGUCAGCUCGUGUCGUGAGAUGUUGGGUUAAGUCCCGCAACGAGCGCAACCCUUUUCCUUAUUUGCCAGCGAGUAAUGUCGGGAACUUUAAGGAUACUGCCAGUGACAAACUGGAGGAAGGCGGGGACGACGUCAAGUCAUCAUGGCCCUUACGGCCAGGGCUACACACGUGCUACAAUGGUCGGUACAAAGGGUUGCUACCUAGCGAUAGGAUGCUAAUCUCAAAAAGCCGAUCGUAGUCCGGAUUGGAGUCUGCAACUCGACUCCAUGAAGUCGGAAUCGCUAGU